This 467-nucleotide ribosomal RNA is filed under the name uncultured bacterium. RNAcentral's name for it is "partial 16S ribosomal RNA". It matches the Rfam family "Bacterial small subunit ribosomal RNA", at positions 29 to 507 of the family's 1533-position model. The record is from RNAcentral.
ACGAACGCUGGCGGCGUGCUUAACACCUGCAAGUCGAACGGAAAGGCCCUGCUUUUGUGGGGUGCUCGAGUGGCGAACGGGUGAGUAACACGUGAGUUACCUGCCCUUGACUUUGGGAUAACUUCAGGAAACUGGGGCUAAUACCGGAUAGGAGCUCCUGCUGCAUGGGGGGGGUUGGAAAGUUUCGGCGGUUGGGGAUGGACGCGCGGCUUAUCAGCUUGUUGGGGGGGUAGUGGCUUACCAAGGCGUUGACGGGUAGCCGGCCUGGGAGGGUGACCGGCCACAUUGGGACUGAGAUACGGCCCAGACUCCUACAGGAGGCAGCAGUGGGGAAUAUUGCACAAUGGGCGGAAGCCUGAUGCAGCAACGCCGCGUGCGGGAUGACGGCCUUCGGGUUGUAAACCGCUUUCGCCUGUGACGAAGCGUGAGUGACGGUAAUGGGUAAAGAAGCACCGGCUAACUACGUG